Non-coding RNA from Caenorhabditis elegans, 135 nucleotides. The record is from Ensembl. Lineage: Eukaryota; Metazoa; Nematoda; Chromadorea; Rhabditida; Rhabditidae.
UCUCGUUUUUGGAUUCUCUGAUCGAAAACUCACAGGGAGAGGAGGGAUGAAUGAUGCAUGAUCCGGGGUUAGAAAGGAAAGAGCUUCCUCUUCCGUCUUUUGCAUGUCAUCAUCAUCCUCAUCUUUUUCUCUAUU